GCGCUCACUUUGGCAGCACAUAUGCUAAAUUGGAGUGAUAGAUUAACAUGGCCCCUGCACAGGGAUGACAUGCGAAUUCCUGAGGUGUUCUAUAUUUUA
RNAcentral lists this small nuclear RNA (99 nucleotides) under Octodon degus (degu). Lineage: Eukaryota; Metazoa; Chordata; Mammalia; Rodentia; Octodontidae. The record is from RNAcentral.